GACGAACGCUGGCGGCGUGCUUAACACAUGCAAGUCGAGCGGUAAGGCCCUUUCGGGGGUACACGAGCGGCGAACGGGUGAGUAACACGUGGGUGACCUGCUCUCAGCUCUGGGAUAAGCCUGGGAAACCGGGUCUAAUACCGGAUAUGACUCCAUGACGCAUGUUGUGGGGUGGAAAGCCUUGUGCGGCUGAGGAUGGGCCCGCGGCCUAUCAGCUUGUUGGUGGGGUGAUGGCCUACCAAGGCGACGACGGGUAGCCGGCCUGAGAGGGCGACCGGCCACACUGGGACUGAGACACGGCCCAGACUCCUACGGGAGGCAGCAGUGGGGAAUCUUGCGCAAUGGGCGAAAGCCUGACGCAGCGACGCCGCGUGAGGGAUGAC
This 383-nucleotide ribosomal RNA is filed under the name uncultured bacterium. Its description in RNAcentral is "bacterial SSU rRNA". It matches the Rfam family "Bacterial small subunit ribosomal RNA", at positions 28 to 412 of the family's 1533-position model. The record is from RNAcentral.